Long non-coding RNA from Mesocricetus auratus (golden hamster), 1844 nucleotides. RefSeq lists it as uncharacterized. The transcript is spliced from 2 exons. The record is from RefSeq and is a predicted model, not a curated record. NCBI's taxonomy places the organism in Eukaryota, Metazoa, Chordata, Mammalia, Rodentia, Cricetidae.
AGUUCACGCUCACGAGAAGCUCUGCAGUAGCAGUAGCUAGCUAGCACAGUGGUUAGAGCGUGCUGGUCAGAAGAAUCAUGGCUCGGAACGCAAGACACUAAGGCUACAUUGGCUGAUGGCUGAUGACUGAUGGCUGAUGACUGCAACCCAGAACUGAGGAGAGCACUUUCUGUGUGGGACUGAGGAAGAACACAGCACUUCAGAGACAGAAAGAUGUGGGGAGAGCUAGGAGGAGCCCACCUUUCCCAUGACACCUGCAUCUUUGCCUCUCCCUUCGGACAUCAGACCUUUCCUGGGUUCAAAACGGACCUGAGAAGCUCCUGUGUCAGUAGGGACUCCUGGGCCACACAGGUUCCUGCGAGUGGAGACUAAUGGAUUUCUAUGAGGGCCCCUAGCACCUCAUGUCAGGGGAUCUCAUUCACAGUGACAAAUGGAGCACGUAUGUAAACCUGAACUUCUCAUCACCCUGCACGUGUUUGCUGCAUUCCUUUUCCCUUGAAGUAUGUGGAUGAAUAGAAAGUCUUUAACCCGAAAAAAAGUAAAAGAUGCCAGCUCUCCACCUUCGACUUCUGCCACCAUGCCUAAUGCUUGCAUUCCUACCAUGGUGAACUCUCAUCCCUCCGGAGCAUUACGUCAAAAUAAACUCAUUUUUCCAGAAGAAGGAGGAGGAGGACGAAGAGGAAGAGGAAAGGGAAAGAAAAACCGAAAGCCUAAGGGACCUUACCAUGACAGGCAGCUAAGAAGGAGCCUCCAAAAUGCACCUGGGAGCCACAGAAAGCCAUAUCAAGAGGGCACCAGGGCCUCUAGACUUUUAGAAAAGCUUUCUAUUAUGCCACAAGACCCACACAGCACUUCAAGGAGAAGAUGUGAAGAUAGUUUUUAAGAGAAAAACCCCUGUCGCUUAGGACAUGGCACAGCUGGGUUCAUGGCAGGCCCAUCUGCUUUCUCAUACAAAUUAUUCAGCCAAUGAAGCAUUGUGGAGAGAAGGCAGGAGGCCUUUGAAGUCAGCUGUGCUUCCUCGGGUGGCUUCGGUUUUCCUGGGCAGCUGAUUUUCACAUAUCCAUCUUCUGGUUCUAACUUGGCCUCCCCUGAGCCCAACAGAGGCUCUACCUCGUUGUUCAUUAACCAGGAGGAAUGCAUAUGGGGCUUAAGGGCUUUCAAGAACUCUGCCAUUGUAGGGUGGCUGAUUUAUGGCCCUGUAUUUACAGCUCCAACAUGGUCCAGCUUGUCCAAAGAAAGGGAGGUAGGCCUUUCUGUUCUGAGUAACAAAGAGAUGGCAACCCAGCAGCAUGGAGGGCUGCUGCACUCUGGGAAAACUGUGAACAACAAACCUGAACUCUGCAUGUGCAGGCACCCGGAGAAGAUGCUUCUUCUUUGAGGGCUAGGGGCCUGUUGGUGGUGUGUGCGGCCUGGGGGCCUGUUGGUGGUGUGUGCAGGCUGGUGACCUGUUGGUGGUGUGUGUGGGCUGGUGACCUGUUGGUGGUGUGUGCGGGCUGGGGGCCUGUUGGUGACAGAUGCACUACUCUGUAUUUGCACCACCACAGGACUCUAGAGAGACACCAUUGCUGCCAAGAGGACUCUACUUGAAGACAACAGAAUAAAUCACCAAUAUUCAGUUAAUCCUGGAGUGACUAAAAACCAGCACAUUCAUUCAUUCGUUUGUCCAUUUGCUCAUUUGUUUACAACUCUGUAGCAUAAAGCUGCUGCCAAACUCGAGUUCCUCCUAGCUCAGCCAUCCAAGAGCUGGACAACAGGCAUGUACCUCUAUGCUCACUAAAAACUGAAAACAGUUCUUUUCUACUGUUUUCCCAGAAAAAAAAAUAAAGCAUGUUUCUUACCAAUAA